CCCUUAGAUGUCCUGGGCCGCACGCGCGUUACACUGAUGCAUUCAACGAGCUUAUAACCUUGGCCGAGAGGCCUGGGCAAUCUUGUUAACGUGCAUCGUGAUAGGGAUAGAUUAUUGAAAUUAUUAAUCUUGAACGAGGAAUUCCUAGUAAACGCAGAUCAUCAAUCUGCAUUGAUUACGUCCCUGCCCUUUGUACACACCGCCCGUCGCACCUACCGAUUGGAUGGUCCGGUGAAGCCUCGGGAUUGUGGUUCUUGCCGCUUUAUUGUGGCGUGACCGCGAGAACUUGUCUAAACCUUAUCAUCUAGAGAAAGGUGAAGUCGUAACA
This 328-nucleotide ribosomal RNA is filed under the name uncultured eukaryote. RNAcentral's name for it is "partial 18S ribosomal RNA". It matches the Rfam family "Eukaryotic small subunit ribosomal RNA", at positions 1470 to 1796 of the family's 1831-position model. The record is from RNAcentral.